UGGGCAUCCCCAAUGCUGAGGCGAGAUUUCGAUUAAUCACCGUAGAAUAUGCCAUGUGGCUACCUUGUCUCACCGUCCGCGAACUUAUCAAAUUCCAUCCCAUACUCCAACCUAUAUAUAUCCUCUAACCCUUCUACGGACAAUUCUCUCCCUUUUCUCUCUCUGGAAAAAUAUUCGUUCUGUGUUUAGAUUAUAUAUCGUAACGGUGGUAUAAAUUCAGAAAACCCUAUUUUCUUGAAUCCCAUUUCUUGAAUUACUCAAAUGUUGCUCUUAUUGUGCUUCAUUUGAAUGGUUAUGAGAGUUUUAUUGAUAGGAAGAGAGUGUUUCUUUGUUGAAGAAAUUCAAGAUUCAAUUUUUAAUGGAGGAACCAAUAGGAAGAAGGUUUCGAAUAGGCUACGCUUUGGCUCCCAAGAAACAAGCCAGCUUCGUUCAGGUUUCUCUCAUAAAUCUUGCUAAAGAGAGAGGCAUCGAUCUUAUCAAGAUCGACCUCGAAAAGCCCUUAAUCGAUCAGGGUCCUUUUGAUUGCAUUCUUCACAAAAUUUACAGUCCCAGUUGGAAACAACAGUUAUCUGACUAUGCGAUAAAGAAUCCUAAUGUCCCUAUAAUUGAUUCUCCCAAUGCCAUUGAGAGGCUGCACAAUAGAAUUUCCAUGCUUGAGGUGGUUACCGAGAUUAAUGUUGAGUACAAGACACUGUUAUUUGGGAUUCCAAAGCAGAUUGUAAUUUAUGAUGCGAAAGCUGUCGAGGAAUUGAAUCUUGAGGCUGAGGGCUUGAAGUUUCCAGUGAUAGCGAAGCCGUUGGUGGCAGAUGGGAGUGCAAAGUCGCACAAGAUGUCCUUGGUUUUUAACAAGGAUGGGUUGAGUAAGCUGAAGCCGCCGGUUGUCUUGCAGGAGUUUGUGAACCAUGGGGGUGUGAUCUUUAAGGUGUAUGUAGUGGGAGACUAUGUCAAGUGUGUGAAGAGAAAGUCUCUACCAGAUGUGAACGAGGAGAAUUUGGGAAAUUCUGAGGCGUCACUGUCCUUUUCACAAGUCUCGAAUUUGAAUAGUGUGGAGAGGGCUGAUGACAAGUAUUAUAGAAUGAUGGACUUGGAAGAUGAAAAGACAGAGUUUCCUGCAAUGAGCUUCUUGGUUAAUAUAGCUAGUGGGUUGAGGGGUGCAAUGGGUUUGCGUUUGUUUAACUUUGACUUGAUUAGGGAUGUGCGGAUUGGGAAUAGGUACCUUGUGAUCGACAUUAACUAUUUUCCUGGAUAUGCAAAGAUGCCCUGCUAUGAGCGUGUUCUGACAGAUUUUUUCUGGGAUAUUUUGAACAAUAAUUAUGAUAAUAAGAUGGUCCUGAAUCUGGAAAGUUUAAAUAUGGGUACUUGCCAGAUGGAAGUUAGAAAGUUGGUUAGUAAUAGUGAACGUGACAAGGAUGAUGGAGUAACAAAUCUUCCCGUUUCUCCAAUAAAGCGGGAAGAAAAGGAGAGUUCCAUUCAAGUAUGAGAGAAUGCUUAUUAAAGUAAUAGUGUCAUGUGGUUAGUGGAGGGCUUGUCGGCAAACAUGGGUCAAUGGAAUUUGCUUUCUGCUGGUUGAUGGCCUUGAAGCAAGCCAUGUUGCACUUCCUUUAGAUGGUAGAAUUAGUACAGUGGUUAAUUAUUAGGUUUCUUCACUUUGAUUCUGAUGCAAUCGGCAUUAAUGGAGUGCUCUGUGUUAAUCAUGUACAUUCGAGUUGUUGGGUUGAGGAUAGUAUCAAUGGGGACAAUAGGUAUUUCUCAAAUACUAUUAAGUCUUUAGGAAUGUUAAGUUUUACUUCAAGGCAAAUGUAUUUCCUGGCUUAGAAAACCUUUCUGAUGUUAGCUUCAGCAACGUCAAUCAAUGAAUCGUGCGAUUUUGUCCAUGAUUGUCCACUUUAAUUCUGCCUUUCAUAAUGUGUGAUUGAUGGGUUCUUAUCAUACGCCCUGUUUUAAGAGUGCAACUCCAUGCUUAAACUGAGAUUUAUUGUCUAUUGUCCUUAUGAAAAUUGUAUUUGUGUAAGCAUAUAUAAAACACUGAAUUAUUUGAGAGACACUUAAUAAAUUGUCUUAUAAUAAUUCUCCCUGAAUAUUCCCUUUCAGCUAAGCGAGUUGUUCCUCAUUCGAAGAAAACUUUCUUUCUCAAACAAUAGUUACUAUAUAUGUCAAUCUGGUUAUAUAUCCUAUUAAAUAUUUACUGUGUUUCUUUGUUCCCUGAUGGAAGCUUUGAUGAUAGUGGGCCAGCCCACCGGUAAGCCAACCUGUGGGGAGUGAAGAACCAUUUUAUUUUUACUUUUUCAUGUUUUAUAUAAGGAUUGUUUGCGUGAUUCAGAAUUAGGGUCAUGCAGUUCUAAUAGCCGGGAGGCUGAUACUGUUGAUUCUGCCUUUGACUACAUGGUGUAUAUGUGUGUGUGUGUUUUAAGAGCAAAACAUGAAACUGACCAAUGAAAUCAGUUUACUUUCAGAUAUUAAUUUUGUUUCGUUCAAAUAAUUGCAUACCAAUCUUAACUUUUUAAAUUUAAUUCUUUUGAAGAACUAUGGAUUAUUGAUGCUGUAUAAUUUUUCUCCAUCAGGUUUUGGUCUUUCUGUGUUAGAAGUGGCAUGCAAGUGAUCUAC
This 2604-nucleotide long non-coding RNA is filed under the name Olea europaea subsp. europaea. Lineage: Eukaryota; Viridiplantae; Streptophyta; Magnoliopsida; Lamiales; Oleaceae. The record is from RNAcentral.